CGUGCAGCAUGAGCGACGUCCACACGUCCUCGGACUUGGAGUCCGAGUAGAUGCCGCCGAUCGAGUCGACGGCCGCCCGGC
This 81-nucleotide transfer RNA is filed under the name Cellulomonas xylanilytica. RNAcentral's name for it is "tRNA-Pro". The record is from RNAcentral. Lineage: Bacteria; Bacillati; Actinomycetota; Actinomycetes; Micrococcales; Cellulomonadaceae.